This 271-nucleotide unclassified non-coding RNA is filed under the name Hevea brasiliensis (rubber tree). Lineage: Eukaryota; Viridiplantae; Streptophyta; Magnoliopsida; Malpighiales; Euphorbiaceae. The record is from RNAcentral.
AUUCUCAUCAACAUUCCAUAGUAAUAAACUUUGUUUUUCCCUUUCAUAUUUCACCUUCUCCAAAUCCAUUUUCUUUUGACUUACCAUUUCCCAAAAUAAAUCAUUUUUCCUUCGUAUAAACAAUUCAUUCAUCUUUUUCCUACAUCCCUCUAGCCUUGACAAACACAAUAUCAACUCAGACAAAUCAAGGUAACUCAAUCUCGAAACUCGGCCCGAUAACUCAACGAGUCGUAUCAUUAUAUGAUACUGACUCGAUCGAUAAUCCUCCGAA